This 473-nucleotide ribosomal RNA is filed under the name uncultured bacterium. Its description in RNAcentral is "bacterial SSU rRNA". It matches the Rfam family "Bacterial small subunit ribosomal RNA", at positions 355 to 825 of the family's 1533-position model. The record is from RNAcentral.
UCGAGAGGCUUCGGCAAUGGGGGAAACCCUGACCGAGCGACGCCGCGUGGAGGAUGAAGGCCCUUGGGUUGUAAACUCCUUUUGUUCGGGAAGAAGUGCGAUCAGGUGAAUAAUCUGGUCGUUUGACGGUACCGGACGAAUAAGCUCCGGCUAACUCCGUGCCAGCAGCCGCGGUAACACGGGGGGAGCAAGCGUUGUUCGGAAUCACUGGGCGUAAAGGGCGUGUAGGCGGUUUGGUAAGUGGGAUGUGAAAUGCUCCGGCUCACCCGGAGAGGUGCAUCCCAUACUGCUAGACUUGAGUACGGGAGAGGAUGGGGGAAUUCCUGGUGUAGCGGUGAAAUGCGUAGAUAUCAGGAGGAACACCGGUGGCGAAGGCGCCCAUCUGGCCCGAUACUGACGCUGAGGCGCGAAAGCUAGGGGAGCAAACGGGAUUAGAUACCCAGGUAGUCCCUGAGCGGGCUGGCAAGGCGCAU